Molecule: long non-coding RNA, 732 nt
Organism: Camelus dromedarius (Arabian camel)
Lineage: Eukaryota; Metazoa; Chordata; Mammalia; Artiodactyla; Camelidae
Exons: 5
Source: RefSeq, a predicted model, not a curated record
AACUUUUUGAGAGACAGUAAAACAUCCAGCUGGCAAGCCUAGGUUACUUUAAACUAUGAAGAUGAUUCUUCAUUUAUUCCAUACAUGUGUUUUUCUGCUGCUACUACAUGCCAGGCACGGAGGCUCCAAGAUUUCAACUGUGUAAAGGCAGAAAUGAUACACUCUCGUGGGAAAGGAAGACAGAGCAAUCAGAGCAUCACUGGCAUUAUCCAAGACAUGUCAGAAAUGUUGGAUCCGGGGCCCACCUCAGACAUACUGACUCAGAAUCUGCCUUUUAACAAGAGCCCCAGGUAUCAUCUGGCUUUUCUCCUAAAAGAGAAUUUUACCAACUCCUUUAAGGAAUAAAAAUGACAAUAAAAAACAUUAUGGCAUAUUUCAGAGUCUGUUUGUGUGAACAGGACGUUUUUGAUGCCUUUGCCAUCUGCAGCUUACUGCUAUGAAUGUGGUGACUUACACUCUGAAAAUUAACAGAGAACAUCUGUGAUCCGUUUCUAGGCUGAAAGCCUCACCUGAUAAAAGAAGCAGAGGGACAGGCAUAGUGAAACUGCGUCUCGUUUCUGAGGCCCUCCUUGGGCAGAACUGUGCGGGUGACAAGGCUGGGUAUCAAAGUUGCUGCCUCCUGACUGUCUGUCCUCGAACUCUGGUGUGCUGCUUCUGUUUCUGGUGUUAUUGGAAUCUCUCCCUUAUCUACCUUUUCCUAAACUCUGCACAAUGCACAUUUAUUGUUCCCAC